Molecule: unclassified non-coding RNA, 232 nt
Filed under: Hevea brasiliensis (rubber tree)
Lineage: Eukaryota; Viridiplantae; Streptophyta; Magnoliopsida; Malpighiales; Euphorbiaceae
Source: RNAcentral
GAAUUUUUGCAGCCAUCCUUUUGUGAGGUGCUUCAUGACAGGCAUUUUGGUGCAAUACAAGAACGUGCAGCUUCACGCCUGGUUCAUGAAGAAUGCUGAUAGGAGUUUUCAUCACCCACAGGAUGUUCUUGUAACAUUGUUUUGCCAGACAUUUUUUCUUGUUUCAGAACUGUGAAAAAUCUCAGGCUCUUUCAUCUGUGUAGUAUAUUCCUCAACACAAUUGUAUUUUGGC